RNAcentral lists this ribosomal RNA (440 nucleotides) under uncultured bacterium. RNAcentral's name for it is "partial 16S ribosomal RNA". It matches the Rfam family "Bacterial small subunit ribosomal RNA", at positions 338 to 795 of the family's 1533-position model. The record is from RNAcentral.
CCUACGGGUGGCAGCAGUAGGGAAUAUUGCUCAAUGGGGGAAACCCUGAAGCAGCAACGCCGCGUGGAGGAUGAAUGUUUUCUGAUUGUAAACUCCUUUUUUUAGAGAAGAUAAUUACGGUAUCUAACGAAUAAGCACCGGCUAACUCGGUGCCAGCAGCCGCGGUAAUAAGGAGGGUGCAAGCGUUACUCGGAAUCACUGGGCGUAAAGAGCGCGUAGGCGGGAUAGCAAGUCCGAUGUGAAAUCCUAUGGCUGAACCAUAGAACUGCAUUUGAAACUGAUGUUCUAGAGUGUGGGAGAGGUAGGCGGAAUUCGUGGUGUAGGGGUAAAAUGCGUAGAGAUCAAGAGGAAUACUCAUUGCGAAGGCGGCAUACUAGAACCCGACUGACGCUGAUGCGCGAAAGCGUGGGGAGCGAACAGGAUUAGAUACCCGUGUAGUC